RNAcentral lists this transfer RNA (73 nucleotides) under Achromobacter anxifer. Its description in RNAcentral is "tRNA-Met". It matches the Rfam family "tRNA". Rfam says of the family: Transfer RNA (tRNA) molecules are approximately 80 nucleotides in length. The record is from RNAcentral. Lineage: Bacteria; Pseudomonadati; Pseudomonadota; Betaproteobacteria; Burkholderiales; Alcaligenaceae.
GCGGGGUGGAGCAGUCUGGUAGCUCGUCGGCCUCAUAAGCCGAAGGUCGCAGGUUCGAAUCCUGCCCACCGCA